Long non-coding RNA from Vigna angularis (adzuki bean), 487 nucleotides. RefSeq lists it as uncharacterized. The transcript is spliced from 3 exons. NCBI's taxonomy places the organism in Eukaryota, Viridiplantae, Streptophyta, Magnoliopsida, Fabales, Fabaceae. The record is from RefSeq and is a predicted model, not a curated record.
GAAACCCUUCCUAAAAGCAACACAACUUCGUAGUUUAUUGCUCAAUGCUCAGUUCCAAACUUCCCUUACAGUGCUCUUUGGGCUCCACGUUUCUCUUCCUCUUCUCACGUUUCAUCAAUGGUUAGUGAAGCAUUUUAAUGGCCGAGAGUGGAUACCGUGUGCUUGUUAAGAAGUAGACUUUAAAGUCUAAUUCAAUCCUACAAAACCAGCUUGUAAGGAACGUGAAAGGGUACCUAAGUACAUUCUUCUUUCACUGGCAUCAGUUGAGACUGGCAAUGAAGUAGACAUAUGGGCUAUGUAAGGUUGGUACCAACAGAACUCAACCAAACUAGUUAUCAAUAACCGAAACGUUUAGUUCCGGAUUCAAAUUCCUUUACCGUUUAUGGCUUCAUAUUCUCGUACCAUAACAUGAUAACAUUAAUCUGAAUCAGAAGGUUUUGGUAUCAGCUUAAUAAUACUUGUACCAAUUUUUGAUAAGGUUUAUGUC